CUUUCCUUUUCUCUUCCGCGAAGGGGUAUAGCUGAAUAUAAAUAUUCCAGCCCAGAUGGCUUAAGAUCGCAAUCCUUUUUCUAAUUUCUUCGUCUGCAACUUUUUAUCAGGAUGAAUACACGAACUGCUCUCCCAGUUUCAUUCGUGGACGGUCGCUCGAGACCUCGUCGUUUCCCUGAUGGUCCUUUUUCUUCACUAGUGUUGUCCUGGGGGGAGGCUUCGGCGAUGGGCGAUCAGACAGUUCCGAAGGCUCCAAUGAAAAGGCGACGAUCUCGAUGGUUUAUUAUCGAGGAGGAGGACGAUGAGGGUUCUAGUUCUGAGAUCCGUGACGAAGAGUUGGGAGAGAUCUGGGGGUUGUUUUAUAAUACAACUAAAUAAUAUUUUCUAAAAAUUGUAUGCAAAUUUUAAAAAUUAAAAAAAUAUAUUUUGAAAUGAAUUAUUUCAGAUAAUAAAUUUAUUGUACCGAUAUUGAAAUUAUAUAAGUAAGUAAU
RNAcentral lists this long non-coding RNA (491 nucleotides) under Brassica napus (rape). RNAcentral describes it as "long non-coding RNA (BNAP_LNC014696)". Lineage: Eukaryota; Viridiplantae; Streptophyta; Magnoliopsida; Brassicales; Brassicaceae. The record is from RNAcentral.